CCUACGGGGGGCAGCAGUCGAGAAUCAUUCACAAUGGGGGAAACCCUGAUGGUGCGACGCCGCGUGGGGGAAUGAAGGUCUUCGGAUUGUAAACCCCUGUCAUGUGGGAGCAAAUUAAAAAGAUAGUACCACAAGAGGAAGAGACGGCUAACUCUGUGCAAGCAGCCGCGGUAAUACAGAGGUCUCAAGCGUUGUUCGGAAUCACUGGGCGUAAAGCGUGCGUAGGCUGUUUCGUAAGUCGUGUGUGAAAGGCGCGGGCUCAACCCGCGGACGGCACAUGUUACUGCGAGACUAGAGUAAUGGAGGGGGAACCGGAAUUCUCGGUGUAGCAGUGAAAUGCGGAGAUAUCGAGAGGAACACUCGUGGCGAAGGCGGGUUCCUGGACAUUAACUGACGCUGAGGCACGAGGGCCAGGGGAGCGAAAGGGAUUAGAUACCCUAGUAGUC
Molecule: ribosomal RNA, 446 nt
Filed under: uncultured bacterium
Lineage: Bacteria
Description: partial 16S ribosomal RNA
Rfam family: Bacterial small subunit ribosomal RNA
Source: RNAcentral